GAUGAAGAACGCAGCGAAAUGCGAUAAGUAAUGUGAAUUGCAGAAUUCAGUGAAUCAUCGAAUCUUUGAACGCACAUUGCGCCCCCUGGUAUUCCGGGGGGCAUGCCUGUUCGAGCGUCAUUUCACCACUCAAGCCUCGCUUGGUAUUGGGCAACGCGGUCCGCCGCGUGCCUCAAAUCGACCGGCUGGGUCUUCUGUCCCCUAAGCGUUGUGGAAACUAUUCGCUAAAGGGUGUUCGGGAGGCUACGCCGUAAAACAACCCCAUUUCUAAGGUUGACCUCGGAUCAGGUAGGGAUACCCGCUGAACUUAAGCACAUCAAUAAGCGGAGGA
Molecule: unclassified non-coding RNA, 331 nt
Filed under: soil metagenome
Description: partial contains 5.8S ribosomal RNA, internal transcribed spacer 2, and large subunit ribosomal RNA
Rfam family: 5.8S ribosomal RNA (bases 1-120)
Source: RNAcentral